Small nucleolar RNA from Lolium rigidum, 108 nucleotides. RefSeq annotates it as small nucleolar RNA Z118/Z121/Z120. The transcript has a single exon. Lineage: Eukaryota; Viridiplantae; Streptophyta; Magnoliopsida; Poales; Poaceae. The record is from RefSeq and is a predicted model, not a curated record.
UGUUUGCUGUGAUGAAUCACAAGGAUGGUAUCUGAGUAAGGUAGCUCUUAAAAAAGAGCCUCCUUCCUUGAUUAUACACACUAAACAAAUCAUUAUUCUGACCAAACA